RNAcentral lists this unclassified non-coding RNA (194 nucleotides) under plant metagenome. RNAcentral's name for it is "partial contains small subunit ribosomal RNA and internal transcribed spacer 1". The record is from RNAcentral.
AAGUCGUAACAGGGUUUCCGUAGGUGAACCUGCGGGAAGGAUCAUUACCUAGAGUUGCGGGGGCUUUGCCCGCCAUCUCUUACCCAGUGUCUUUUGAGUACCUUACGUUUCCUCGGCGGGGUCCGCCCGGCCGACUGGACAAUUUAAACCACUUGCAGUUGCAAUCAGCGUCUGAAAAAACUUAAUAGUUACAA